UGCAACUCGCCUGUAUGAAGUCGGAAUUGCUAGUAAUCGCAGAUCAGCAUGCUGCGGUGAAUACGUUCCCGGGCCUUGUACACACCGCCCGUCACACCAUGGGAGUCGGUAACACCCGAAGUCGGUAGCCUAACCGUAAGGAGGGCGCCGCCGAAGGUGGGAUUGAUGACUGGGGUGAAGUCGUAACAAGGUAAC
Molecule: ribosomal RNA, 195 nt
Filed under: uncultured bacterium
Lineage: Bacteria
Description: partial 16S ribosomal RNA
Rfam family: Bacterial small subunit ribosomal RNA
Source: RNAcentral